Molecule: ribosomal RNA, 492 nt
Filed under: uncultured bacterium
Lineage: Bacteria
Description: partial 16S ribosomal RNA
Rfam family: Bacterial small subunit ribosomal RNA
Source: RNAcentral
AUUGAACGCUGGCGGCAGGCCUAACACAUGCAAGUCGAACGGUAACACAAAGCGGGUUGCUUCUUUGCUGACGCGUGUCGGAGAGGGGUGUAAUGUAUGGCGAAAUGCAUUUUUGCGGGGGAUAAAUACUGGAGAAACUAACUCUAACACCGUAUCGUCGCAACAGCAAAAAGGGGGGCAUUUUCGCCUCUUGCCCUCUGAUAUGAGCCGAUGUCGGAUUAGCUAGGUGGCGGGGAAAAGGCACACCAAGGCGACGAUCCGUAGCUGGUCUGAGAGGAUGAUCAGCCACACUGGAACUGAGACACGGUCCAGACUCCUACGGGAGGCAGCAGUGGGGAAUAUUGGACAAUGGGCGCAAGCCUGAUCCAGCCAUGCCGCGUGGGUGAAGAAGGCCUUCGGGUUGUAAAGCACUUUUGUUGGGGAAGAAAAGAAGCAAGUUAAUACCCCGCUGUAUUGACGGUACCCACAGAAGAAGCACCGGCUAACUCCGUG